AAAGCCUACCCUUCCUGCCACACCAGAGUAUGCUUAUGAAAGAUCAGGCCUCCAAAAUGCCCCGGCUGCAUUGUAACAUGAAUUGUAAGACACUCUGUCACUGAGCCUCACCCUCUGCCUGGGACACGGGGUGAAGAGCUGACCUCUGUCCUCAAGGAGCUCCCAGCUAAUGGAAGCCCUGAAGGAGCAGGAGGAGAUCAACUUCCGGCUGAGGCAGUACAUGGACAAGAUUAUCCUCGCCAUCCUGGACCACAAUCCCUCCAUCCUCGAGAUCAAACACUAAGGCACGGGGCUGGCUGCAGAGCAGCCUUAGGACCCUGGGACCAAGGGCAGACCCUGCCCAAGGAUGCAGGCCUAAGCCGGGCCUCACACUCACACUGUAAUUGUCUCUCUGGCCACCAUG
This 403-nucleotide small RNA is filed under the name Pan troglodytes (chimpanzee). Its description in RNAcentral is "processed transcript". Lineage: Eukaryota; Metazoa; Chordata; Mammalia; Primates; Hominidae. The record is from RNAcentral.